Molecule: transfer RNA, 73 nt
Filed under: Ictidomys tridecemlineatus (thirteen-lined ground squirrel)
Lineage: Eukaryota; Metazoa; Chordata; Mammalia; Rodentia; Sciuridae
Also listed under: 1 other name
Description: Spermophilus tridecemlineatus (thirteen-lined ground squirrel) tRNA
Rfam family: tRNA
About the family: Transfer RNA (tRNA) molecules are approximately 80 nucleotides in length. Their secondary structure includes four short double-helical elements and three loops (D, anti-codon, and T loops). Further hydrogen bonds mediate the characteristic L-shaped molecular structure. tRNAs have two regions of fundamental functional importance: the anti-codon, which is responsible for specific mRNA codon recognition, and the 3' end, to which the tRNAs corresponding amino acid is attached (by aminoacyl-tRNA synthetases). tRNAs cope with the degeneracy of the genetic code in two manners: having more than one tRNA (with a specific anti-codon) for a particular amino acid; and 'wobble' base-pairing, i.e. permitting non-standard base-pairing at the 3rd anti-codon position.
Source: Rfam by way of RNAcentral
AGGGAUAUAGCUCAGUAGUAGAGCACUUGAUCUAGCAUGUGUAAGGCUCUGGGUUCAACCCCCAGUACUCUCG